GUGCACGCUGGCGGUAGGCCUAACACAUGCAAGUCGAACGGCAGCACAGUAAGAGCUUGCUCUUACGGGUGGCGAGUGGCGGACGGGUGAGGAAUACAUCGGAAUCUACUUUUUCGUGGGGGAUAACGUAGGGAAACUUACGCUAAUACCGCAUACGACCUACGGGUGAAAGCAGGGGAUCUUCGGACCUUGCGCGAUUGAAUGAGCCGAUGUCGGAUUAGCUAGUUGGCGGGGUAAAGGCCCACCAAGGCGACGAUCCGUAGCUGGUCUGAGAGGAUGAUCAGCCACACUGGAACUGGGACACGGUCCAGACUCCUACGGGAGGCAGCAGUGGGGAAUAUUGGACAAUGGGCGCAAGCCUGAUCCAGCCAUACCGCGUGGGUGAAGAAGGCCUUCGGGUUGUAAAGCCCUUUUGUUGGGAAAGAAAAGCAGCAGGUUAAUACCCCGCUGUUCUGACGGUACCCAAAGAAUAAGCACCGGCUAACUUCGUG
RNAcentral lists this ribosomal RNA (491 nucleotides) under uncultured bacterium. Its description in RNAcentral is "partial 16S ribosomal RNA". It matches the Rfam family "Bacterial small subunit ribosomal RNA", at positions 29 to 507 of the family's 1533-position model. The record is from RNAcentral.